GAUGAAGAACGUAGCGAAAUGCGAUAAGUAAUGUGAAUUGCAGAAUUCAGUGAAUCAUCGAAUCUUUGAACGCACAUUGCGCCCAUUAGCAUUCUAGUGGGCUUGCCUGUUCGAGCGUCAUUUCAACCCUUAAGCCCUGUUGCUUAGCGUUGGGAGCCUACAGUACUGUAGCUCCCCAAAGUUAGUGGCGGAGUCGGUUUCACACUCUAGACGUAGUAAUUUUUUCUCGUCUGUAGUUGAGCCGGUCCCCUGCCGUAAAACACCCAAUUUAUCAAGGUUGACCUCGGAUCAGGUAGGAAUACCCGCUGAACUUAAGCAUAUCAAUAAGCGGAGGA
RNAcentral lists this unclassified non-coding RNA (335 nucleotides) under soil metagenome. Its description in RNAcentral is "partial contains 5.8S ribosomal RNA, internal transcribed spacer 2, and large subunit ribosomal RNA". The stretch from base 1 to 120 matches the Rfam family "5.8S ribosomal RNA", at positions 35 to 154 of the family's 154-position model. The record is from RNAcentral.